Molecule: long non-coding RNA, 418 nt
Filed under: Rattus norvegicus (Norway rat)
Lineage: Eukaryota; Metazoa; Chordata; Mammalia; Rodentia; Muridae
Description: long non-coding RNA NONRATT018771
Source: RNAcentral
GUGAUGAUCGACGCCAUCAAGGUUUCUGCUGCUCACAGGGCCCGGUACUUCUGGGGUAAUCUACCUGGAAUGAACAGGAUCUUCGGGUUCCCAGCUCACUACACAGACGUGUCCAACAUGGGCCGGGGCGCCCGCCAGAAGCUACUGGGAAGGUCCUGGAGUGUGCCAGUCAUCAGACACCUGUUUGCCCCCUUGAAGGACUACUUUGCAUGUGAAUAGUUCUACCCAGGACUGGGGUGCUCUUGGUCAGAGCCAGUGCCCAGAGUCACCCCUCCCUGAAGGCACCUCACCUGUCCCCUUCCUUAGCUCACCUGUGUGGGGCCUCACAUCACUGUACCUCAGCUUUCUCCUGCUCAGUGGGAGCAGAGCCUCCUGGCCCCUGCAGGGGAGCCCCAGGUGCUCCCUCUGUGCACAGCUC